AUGAAAUUUUCACUAUGGAUAAUCAUAAUAAUAAUAUAGAGAUGAUUGAACGUGUCGCGUUUUGCAGGAUGUAGGACAGGCGGUGCUCGAGAGCUAUUCAAGAGUGCUGGAAGGUUUGGCGUUUAACAUCGUUGCUUGGAUCGACGAUGUACUGUUUGUAGAUAAAACAAUGAAAAGUCAGGAGUAGCAGCAGGUGAUGGAAAGUAACAGGAAUUCUUAGUGAAAUUAUUUGUUCUAGUAUAGGCAAGAAGAGAAGCCCUUCAUAGACAAUAUUUUUGCUUUUCCUAAUGAAGGGAUCAAAUCAUCAAUGUAAUUAUUUUUGCCUUUGCAGCCCUUCAUAGUCUCUUUUUGCAGUCAUUUUUCAUGUACAAGUGUCAAGGACAAACACUAAUUUGUUGAGUUUCAGUCAUUCUACAACUAAAACCUCUCAACAUAAUCUUGUUUAGAUCAUGUUUAGGGAUCCAAGAAGCACAUCAUUAGAGAAAAAUCUCAUGUAAAUGAUUGAUAUGAAAAAGAACUGCUACAGAAAAUUCCAUAUUCCAUAAACUAUCCCUCUAAAGAUUCUUGGAGUUUCAUUACAGUCAAGAGUCCCCAUUCCAUGAAAAUACAGAAUCUUUAAAAACUUCUGAGUCUGGUUUUGUUUGAGUAGCAGAGGGAAAAGGUUCGGUUUGAUGUUCCGACACUUCAGUUUCUUCUUCAAAAGCUCUCAAAUCAAAAGAAUCCUGCUGUGAAUUAAUAGUCUUACCAUCCUUGGCACCUGUGACACCUCAUCUUAUCGUAACUGAUUACACAUAAUUCCAACACGCUUUCGAUAUUUUCUUUAGGCUCGCUCUGAAUAAGAGGACGAGAAACAGGAGCUUCACAUCUUACACUUGUCACUCAACUUAAAAUCCUCAAUAUAGAUGGAUUAUUAAUCUGGUAUAAAGAACAAAGGCAACUAAGAGAACAUAUUACAACUUGUGAAUAAGAAGUGAUAUAUAACACAUGCUCUGGCUUCGUCACAUUUCAGGUAUUACAGCAUAAACUGAAAGCUACGUAGAUGAUGUAGCAUUCUGUCAGAAGCAGCACUUGUUGGUUCCAAAGAUUCAAAGGAACUGAUUCCUCCUUCACAUACGAUGUAGAUAGACCAGGCUGGAUUUCUUAGGCAAAACUUACCAAAGGUGGCUAAAACAUAGAUAGAGUAAAGAAAUACAGAAAUUGGAAUUAAGCUCUUACUUCUAUGUAACACUAAUUUUGAAAAGGAAAAAAGAAAAAAAAAGUAUAUUAGGAACUAAGCCUUAUCCCAUGAGUAAUAAAUUCAGAAUUGAAAGAGGUAAUAUAUCUCUUUCUCAACCGAACCUAUUCUCACUGUCAUGAAGCUCUUUAUUUUUUUAUCUUUUACUCCUUUCGUCCCCCAAAUAACUAUCUAACUUUCCUUUUCGAUCCGUCCCCAAAAUAAUUUCCCUUUCUAUUUUUAGAUUAUACCACAUCAUUAAUAUUACCCCAUUUACCCUUACUUUUCAUUUUUCACAUUUUCAUCUUAAAACUCGUGCCCUCCCUUCAAGGAAAUUAUUUUGGGGACGGGAGGAGUAUUUAUUAUGCAUAUACAUAUAUAUUUUUUAAAGUUCAAAAAGCUCUCUCUAAUGACAAAAAAAGGACUCAAUAUUUAAUUAUCUUACAUGGUAAAUAAAGUUUCAUAAUCAAGCCUAGGACCUAGAAUAAUCUUCUAUCCUUCAUAAGAGUAUAAAACAAAUACCCAACACUAAUAUAAACAUGGUUCCAAAGCAAUAACAGAAGUUACUGCUUUUGUUUUCCAUGCUUAUCAAUAUCCUAAAUCUUCUCCGCGAAAGUCUAAUGUAAUUUUCUUCGAGACCAAACACUAAACCAGCAUCCAUGAUAACUGUAUUCUUUUAACUACUAUAUCUAAACUUUACCCACCAUUGCAACUUUUGCCUAACAAAUCCAUCCAGAUCUAACAUUUUAUCGUCUGUGAGAAGGGUGAGUGCUUGAACCUUUAAACCAGCAGAAAUGCUUGGUGCAGCAAAGAGAUUUUUGAAUUUUUUAGUUCUAUAACAAGGAACUAGGAAAAGGGGGCUAGCUAUAAAUGGUUUAAAACUGAUGCAAAUAUGUUAUGCCGUGAUUCAGGAUACGAUAAAAAACUUGUAAGGCAGUUGCACAUACCAAAGCGGCCAGCUUACCAAACUGAUGCCGAAGAAUCUUAGUACACGUAGGAUGAGUUCGUUAUGAUGGCUAGAACAAAGAUUCACUCUGUAAGACUGUAACGACAAGAUUCUGUAAGCUAGGAACUGCAAGAAAUCAGGGAAACCUGCGCAUUUACUAAACCUCAUUAAAACUCAUAAGCAGGAAAGAUUAUAACAAUCCCAACAAAAGAUGAUUAGUUUUUGCACAGUUUAAAUGAAGCUUAAUGUCAGCCACAAAUGUCACACAAGAUUCAAAUAACUGACACAAAUUAGAUCCCUUAAACAAAUAAAACAUUUUUUUCCCUGUUUAGUGGCUUUUGGUGUCUGCAUUUAUCUGAUUAUUUGUCACUAAUACAAAUGGAUUUAGGUCAAACAAAAUCAUACUACUAAACAGAAUCUCCCUCUUGAGCCAUAAUACUGCAGCAACAGCAAUAAAAACUGAUUCUUUAAAGUUUACAGCAUACAAGGAUCUAAUCAAACAAAGAAGAACUCAAUAACAAAUGCAGAUUCUCGCAAAAAGAAGAUAAUAAAAAUAAAAAUAAAAAAUAAAAAACAAGUUCCAAAUUCGUAAACUUGUCACAAAUCCAAAAACAAUAAUCAGAAAUGCAAGAAAUAUAUCUUCAUCUACCAGAAAAUCAUAAAAAGUAAAAAAUCAAAGCCUUGAGCUACUUGUUAAAACCUUAUGACUAAACCAUCUGAAUUCGACUGAAAAAAAAAAAAUUGAUUCUUGCAAUUGAAACACACAGAGAGAGAGAGAGAGAGAUGAGCAAUUAGGGUUACACUGAUACAGUUUAAAUAGGGAAGAAAAAUAUGUGAAAUUAAUUGCAGUAAUUCAAGUGAAGAAUCUACAGCUAAUGAAUUGAAGGCCACUGGAAUCAGGUUUUCACCAUCUGCCAACGAUUUAUUACCUUUUUUAGGCACCUCUCAAAAUUCAGUUUUAACAGAUAUUGAAACUUCUGUGAUUUGUUGUCUCAUAUUCAGAUUUACAAUUUAAUUACAAAUUGCGACUCUUAUUUUGACAAUCUUUCUGAAAUUUCCACUUAAAUUAUAAAAAAUCUUAAGACAAA
This 3247-nucleotide long non-coding RNA is filed under the name Salvia miltiorrhiza (redroot sage). Its description in RNAcentral is "long non-coding RNA (SMIL_LNC005810)". The record is from RNAcentral. Lineage: Eukaryota; Viridiplantae; Streptophyta; Magnoliopsida; Lamiales; Lamiaceae.